Molecule: long non-coding RNA, 500 nt
Filed under: Brassica rapa (field mustard)
Lineage: Eukaryota; Viridiplantae; Streptophyta; Magnoliopsida; Brassicales; Brassicaceae
Description: long non-coding RNA (BRAP_LNC004860)
Source: RNAcentral
UUCGAAUGGCAUGCAGAUCAAGAAAAUACAGAUCAAACUCAAAACGCAGAUCAAGCAGAACAAAUGCAGAUCAAGCAGAUCAUGUAGAACAAAUGCAAAUCUAACUGGUUAAGCUAAUUUAUCAAAUUAGUGUAUUUAACCAAAUAUUAAAAAUAAUUUUGUAAAUUAAAUAUCUAAAACAAAAAUACAAAUUCUCAUCAAUUAUUUUUUAUUAAUUUAAUAAAUGCAAAGAAAUUUUAAACAUUAUAUAAAAGUUAACACAAUUAUAACAAAAAAAAAAUCAUAAACAAAAAAAAGUAUAAUUCUAAUAAAUAUAUUGAAACCUUAAAAAUUAUAUAAAAUUCAUUAAAAUGACAAAGAGUAUUCCUUUUCCAUUUAAUUAUUUUUAUAGUCCAAAUUACGAGUUUUACCGGUUUUUACAAGAUUUGAAGGUUUAAUUCAAAUCCGAAUUUUAGAGCAACCCGAAACAUGAAUAUGGAUGAGUUACGGUUUGACCGGCC